CGAAAGCCUGACGGAGCAAUACCGCGUGAGGGAGGAAGGCUCUAGGGUUGUAAACCUCUUUUCUCAGGGAAGAACAAAAUGACGGUACCUGAGGAAUAAGCAUCGGCUAACUCCGUGCCAGCAGCCGCGGUAAUACGGAGGAUGCAAGCGUUAUCCGGAUUUAUUGGGCGUAAAGCGUCCGCAGGUGGCAGUUCAAGUCUGCUGUUAAAGGUCGGGGCUCAACCCCGAACAGGCAGUGGAAACUGAACAGCUGGAGUACGGUAGGGGUAGAGGGAAUUCCCAGUGUAGCGGUGAAAUGCGUAGAGAUUGGGAAGAACACCGGUGGCGAAAGCGCUCUGCUAGGCCGAAACUGACACUCAUGGACGAAAGCUAGGGGAGCG
RNAcentral lists this ribosomal RNA (380 nucleotides) under uncultured cyanobacterium. RNAcentral describes it as "bacterial SSU rRNA". It matches the Rfam family "Bacterial small subunit ribosomal RNA", at positions 376 to 770 of the family's 1533-position model. The record is from RNAcentral. Lineage: Bacteria; Bacillati; Cyanobacteriota.